UUCCGGUUGAUCCUGCCGGACCCCACUGCUAUCGAGAUGGGACUAAGGUAUGCUAGUCGAACGACCAGAACUAUGUCUGGAAGUGGCACACUGCUCAGUAACACGUAGCUAACCUACCCUUAGGACGUGGAUACCCCCGAGAAAUUGGGGUUAAUCCGCGAUAGAUGUAAUGUCCUGGAAUGGUAUUACGUCUAAAGGUAUUUCAUACAUGUUUGAAAUAUGCCUAAGGAUGGGGCUGCGGCCGAUCAGGCUGUUGGUGAGGUAAUGGCUCACCAAACCUUUGACCGGUACGGGCCAUGAGAGUGGUAGCCCGGAGAUGGACGCUGAGACAAGGGUCCAGGCCCUAAGGGGCGCAGCAACCGCGAAACCUCCACAAUGCACUCACGUGCGAUGGGGCUAUCUCGAGUGCCACCUGAUGAAGGUGGCUUUUCCUAGGUCUUCAAAGCCUUGGGAAUAAGAGGGGGGCAAGACUGGUGUCAGCCGCCGCGGUAACACCAGCCCCUCGAGUGGUGGGGAUGAUUAUUUGGCCUAAAGCGUCCGUAGCCGGCCGAGCAAGUCUUCCGUUAAAUCCAGCGUCUCAAGCGUUGGACCGCGGGAGAUACUACACGGCUAGAGAGUGGGAGAGGUCAGCGGUAUUCUGGGGGUAGGGGCGAAAUCCUUUGAUCCCCGGAGGACCACCAGUGGCGAAGGCUGCUGACUAGAACACGUCUGGCGGUCAGGGACGAAAGCUGGGGUAGCGAACCGGAUUAGAUACCCGGGUAGUCCCAGCCGUAAACGAUGCAUGCUAGGUGUUGGGUUGGCCAC
This 804-nucleotide ribosomal RNA is filed under the name uncultured archaeon. Its description in RNAcentral is "bacterial SSU rRNA". It matches the Rfam family "Archaeal small subunit ribosomal RNA", at positions 1 to 786 of the family's 1478-position model. The record is from RNAcentral.